UUAUCACGGGAGACACACGGCGGGUGCUAACGUCCGUCGUGAAGAGGGAAACAACCCAGACCGCCAGCUAAGGUCCCAAAGUCAUGGUUAAGUGGGAAACGAUGUGGGAAGGCCCAGACAGCCAGGAUGUUGGCUUAGAAGCAGCCAUCAUUUAAAGAAAGCGUAAUAGCUCACUGGUCGAGUCGGCCUGCGCGGAAGAUGUAACGGGGCUAAACCAUGCACCGAAGCUGCGGCAGCGAACGUAUCACUUAAAGCGAUUCAGCGGGUUACGAUUGACGGAGCGAAGCGACGUCAAAGCGUAUACAAAGUCGAGUCGGUUUAAGGAUACGUUCGUUGGGUAGGGGAGCGUUCUGUAAGCCUGUGAAGGUGGCCUGUGAGGGUUGCUGGAGGUAUCAGAAGUGCGAAUGCUGACAUAAGUAACGAUAAAGCGGGUGAAAAGCCCGCUCGCCGGAAGACCAAGGGUUCCUGUCC
Molecule: ribosomal RNA, 471 nt
Filed under: Salmonella enterica subsp. enterica serovar Enteritidis
Lineage: Bacteria; Pseudomonadati; Pseudomonadota; Gammaproteobacteria; Enterobacterales; Enterobacteriaceae
Description: partial 23S ribosomal RNA
Rfam family: Bacterial large subunit ribosomal RNA
Source: RNAcentral